This is a long non-coding RNA of Oncorhynchus masou masou (cherry salmon), 1841 nucleotides long. RefSeq lists it as uncharacterized. NCBI's taxonomy places the organism in Eukaryota, Metazoa, Chordata, Actinopteri, Salmoniformes, Salmonidae. The record is from RefSeq and is a predicted model, not a curated record. The transcript has 2 exons.
UCCAGUGUGAGAAGUUAACGAGUUGGCAUUUCCAUGAGACAUCGAGAUGGUGGGGCGAAAUCCUUUGAAUCAACAUGCUAUGAAGGUAACCAUGAUUGACAGAGGAAGAACAAUGAUUCCAAGCACCACCCUCCUUUUGAAGCUUCCAGUCUGUUAUUCGAACUCAAUCAGCAUGACAGAGUGAUCUCCAGCCUUGUCCUCGUCAACACUCGCACCUGUGUUAACGAGAGAAUCACUGACAUGUCAGCUGGUCCUUUUGUGGCAGGGCUGAAAUGCAGUGGAAAUGUCUUAUUGGGAUUUAGUUCAUUUGCAUGUUAAAGAGGGAUUUUGCAAUUAAUUGCAAUUCAUCUGAUCACUCUUCAUAACAUUCUGGAGUGUAUGCAAAAUACCAUUAUAUAAACUGAGGCAGCAUACUUUGUGAAAAUUAAUAUUUGUGUCAUCUCAAAACUUUUGGCCACGACUGUACGAGUUACCACACACGUUCACAGGGAUGGCUAUAUCUGGAAAUUCCUUUGGUCUCAGAGCUUUUAGUUUUCUUGCACCUUAUUUGUGGAACAAUCCUCAAAAUGUUCUUACAUUUCAUAUUUUGGUGCCUCUAGGACAAUUCAGAAAGCUGAUUAAGGACCUUUUUACUGACGAAUGUGUUUUUUAAUGACCCUGUUUUUCUUUGCAUUUUGCAAAUGCUUCGAUUUUGUAUUUAUAUUUCGAUGUGUGCAUUUUCUGAUAUUUAUGUAAUUCAGGGCUCAUCUGUAAAAGAGACCUUGGUCUCAGUAAGACUGUUAAAAUAAAAUAAAGUAUAUUUUUUAUUGUUACAGAAGUGUACAGAACACAAGUACAGUAUACAUCACAAAAGCAGUAGUAUUUACAGGUGAAACAGUCCCUACAGGAGCUUUACAAAUAUUCAGUUACAUGCAUAGUCCAACAUUAAAUUUAAAACAUGAAAAUACAAUCUUACAAGCACGAGCAAAGCUCCACUUGCACUAUGUACAGUACAAAUGCAACGGAGUUAAAAUAGUUUCUCAUAUCCAUAAAUAUUUCUAUUACACUUUAUAGUACAUAAAAUGUGCAUGCUUGGCAGUUUUAACAGACAAAAUAAAUGUUCUUAUUCUCUUUCUAUAAAAACUAGUCAGUUCAAAGCAUAUUCAUUUCAUGUAAAUAUAAUUCUCAUUUAAGCAAAAUAGCUAUAGCAUAGAAAGGUAACAUUUGUAAAUAUUUUAAGUAAUAGCUAGCCCAAUGCGGUAUCUAGGUCCUCGAGACAGUAGAUCUGCAGCAUAUCAGAGUAGUUGAGCAUGUAUCUACACUGCCUUGCGGAAAUUAUUCAGACACCUUGACUUUUUCCACAUCUGUGUUACGUUACAGCAUUAUACUAAAUGUAUGAAAAAAAAUCCUCAGCAAUCUACAGACAAUACCCCAUAAUGACAAAGUGAAAACAGGUUUUUAGAAAUGUUUGCAAAUGUAUUAAAAAUAAAAUGUAUUAAAAACCUUAUAGGUAUUCAGACCCUUUGCUAUUAGGCUCAAAAUUGAGCUCAGGUGCAUCCUGUUUUCAUUGAUCAUGAGCUACAAAAUCUGGACCCCUACAAAUCAGCUGGGCUAGACAAUCUGGACCCUCUCUUUCUAAAAUUAUCUGCCGAAAUUGUUGCAACCCCUAUUACUAGCCUGUUCAACCUCUCUUUCGUAUCGUCUGAGAUUCCCAAAGAUUGGAAAGCUGCCGCGGUCAUCCACCUCUUCAAAGGGGGAGACACUCUAGACCCAAACUGCUACAGACAUAUACACACACACACACACACACACACACACACACACACACACACACACACACACACACAUACAUACAUAUAUAU